Molecule: long non-coding RNA, 298 nt
Organism: Gorilla gorilla gorilla (western lowland gorilla)
Lineage: Eukaryota; Metazoa; Chordata; Mammalia; Primates; Hominidae
Exons: 2
Source: RefSeq, a predicted model, not a curated record
UUUGUGAAGGAUUUCCUUUGUUAAAAUGAUUGGAGCGCAUUUAAGGCUAUUCAAUAACGAACUUACCCACUUGUGUUCUGCUAUUCUUCUCAGGUUGAGGAAAAACGUGGGUUCCAUCAGGGAAGGAGAUGGGAACCUUAGCCUUGAUCACAGGGCUUCUCCGUCUGAGGGCGUGAGCUUGUGAAUGUCAUCUACUUUGGAGGACACACUUCAUGAACUGUGCUGACUACAGUUACAAUAUUGUUAUUCUUGAAUCCCAGCCACCUGGAUGUCCCAUCUGGCUGGUAGAAAUGACAUA